GCGAGGGUAGCGAAGCGGUCAAACGCGAGAGACUCAAAAUCUCUUGGCUUAGUGCCUUCAAAGGUUCGAAUCCUUUCCCUCGCA
Molecule: transfer RNA, 84 nt
Filed under: archaeon
Lineage: Archaea
Description: tRNA-Leu
Rfam family: tRNA
About the family: Transfer RNA (tRNA) molecules are approximately 80 nucleotides in length. Their secondary structure includes four short double-helical elements and three loops (D, anti-codon, and T loops). Further hydrogen bonds mediate the characteristic L-shaped molecular structure. tRNAs have two regions of fundamental functional importance: the anti-codon, which is responsible for specific mRNA codon recognition, and the 3' end, to which the tRNAs corresponding amino acid is attached (by aminoacyl-tRNA synthetases). tRNAs cope with the degeneracy of the genetic code in two manners: having more than one tRNA (with a specific anti-codon) for a particular amino acid; and 'wobble' base-pairing, i.e. permitting non-standard base-pairing at the 3rd anti-codon position.
Source: RNAcentral